This 115-nucleotide ribosomal RNA is filed under the name Dromaius novaehollandiae (emu). The record is from RNAcentral. Lineage: Eukaryota; Metazoa; Chordata; Aves; Casuariiformes; Dromaiidae.
GCCAGCAGCUAGCACAUGAAUGAAAGGAUCUCAUCUGAUCUCAGAAGCUAAGCAGGGUCAGGCACAGAUAGUACCUGGAUAGGAGACUGCUUGGGAACACCAGGAGCUGCAGGAG